GGUGGCAAUCCUGUAAUUAUGGUGAGAAUUGUGUAACUCGCAGUACUAUCAUGAUCUCACUCAUCUCUCUCACGCACUGCUCACUCGAUUUCUCUCACUUCUCACUCGAACCCUAGCGGCCAUAUCUCUCUCACGAUCGAUCUCGUCUUCUCUCUCACUAAUCUCACUCGAACUCGGCGGCGUCAUCUCUCUCACCGACCUCACGUACUCGCUCAUCUUUGUCGUCUCUCUGUCUCACUGAAACACGAAUUGAUGGCUGAAUCGGAAAUUCCAAAACCCAGUGAAACAUGAAUUGAAGGUUGAAGCACUCAUAUCUGUCUUCUCUCUCGUUUCAUCUUCUCUAGCCCUAAACCCAGAGAAAAGAAAGCAUACAAGAGUUUUCGCACACGAAGAAAGCUACCUGAGUAUGCAAUUCUUCUUGAACAAAUCUGGUGGAAGCUUUUAGAUUUUGUUGAACUAAAGCAGCUCGAUACCUUUCUUUGACAUUGAGAAACAUGAAACUAUGAUUUUGCGUUGGUCUAUAGCUAGGACAAUAGCUACUAAGGACCAGUUGCAGCAAACAGAAGUGGAUUGUGCGUAUUUGAAUAGAUGUUGUGAGAUACUGACAGAAGAGACUAAGAGUUUACAUAAAGAACUUCAAAUUUGGAGCAGUUUCUCUCCGGUUCAUUUUGUUAUUGUACUAGUAAGCAUUCUGCUUAGUUGAAUGAUUGAAGAAGGGAUCCAGACUAUGAGAAACAAUUGGGAUAUUGAUGGAAGCAAUUUGUUGGAUAUCUAUGCAGGUAUGUAGUGUAGGUUCUGAUAUUCAAAAAAAAAAGAUGUAGUGCAGAUUCUGGCCACAACCUAUCAUAUAAACAUGAUCCAAUUAUGUAUUGUAUGUUUUGUUAUUAAAAUUAUUUUAGCCUCUGAUGUGACUUUUAUUUUUGUUGGACUGCUUUGAUAUCCAUGUGUGAUGUCUUUCCAUCUGCUGACCGUGAUAAUUUUUGCUCUCGGACAACGCUUUGGUGGUGGUCCUCUUGAUCUAAUCUCCGGAUUCACCGUCAUCAUCAAUGUUAGUCCAUUGUGAGUCUUGAAUAAGAUUGAGAUGGUUCUCUUUUCUAACACAGUCUUGAAUAAAUAUCACUUUGUAUUAAUUUCAUGUCCUGUUGGUAACUUAAUUUAACAUGUUAGCUAUUACCAUGUUCUUGAUGUCACAUGUAGGGAGUUAUUAUGCAUGUAUAAAUAUUCAAUAUGAAUGUAUUUAUUUUGCAAUAAUACUUGAUCAUUAUCCCUUACAUUCCAAUAAUACAAUUUAUGCUUUUGAAAGUGAACUAAAAUUUCACUUUGACUUGAUUACAUUUGUGUUUUAACUCAUUUGAUUGAAGUAUUGAAUUUGUAGAGUAUAGAGAAGUAUAGUUAAAAAUAACAUGAUCCAGUCAUUGACUAAGCAUCUCUUCAACAAGGUUUGUCUUCUAAGUUUACUCUGGUAUAAUCAGCCACCAUGACUCUUUUUUUCAGGAUUUUUAAACCUUGUUGAAGGAGAAAGACAAAUUCAAACCUGGAUGUUUUCAAGAAGGAGAAAGACAAAUUCAAACCUGGAUCUAAGGUAGAAGAAAAUUAAGGGUUGUUUAAGAACAAGUGGAGUGGCAGCAAAAGCUGCGUUUCUGUUACUGAACAGCUCG
This is a long non-coding RNA of Trifolium pratense (red clover), 1658 nucleotides long. RefSeq lists it as uncharacterized. The record is from RefSeq and is a predicted model, not a curated record. The transcript is spliced from 6 exons. NCBI's taxonomy places the organism in Eukaryota, Viridiplantae, Streptophyta, Magnoliopsida, Fabales, Fabaceae.